CACCUGGCCCGUGUUUCUUUCUCUCUUCACACUCUGCUGGCAUCAGACCACAGCCGGGGACCCAGGCGCUCCCGGCAUUUGGCGCCCGAACAGGGACCUGAAAGGAAGGCUUCCCCCGGCAGAGUGGCCCUGGACAAGGUGGGCUGUAUGGCCAACAGCCCUAGAAAAGGAGCUCCGGUCGUCAAGAGAAGAUGCUAACAAGGUGCACAUUUCGGGCCUCACUAUACACAGGGAUUCUUCGAUUUGACCUCUUUACUGGAUCUCUGCCAUCAGAGUGAUUGGGAAUACAAAAACACUGAGGUUGGGGCAGG
Molecule: non-coding RNA, 311 nt
Organism: Phascolarctos cinereus (koala)
Lineage: Eukaryota; Metazoa; Chordata; Mammalia; Diprotodontia; Phascolarctidae
Source: RefSeq, a predicted model, not a curated record